UCUUUGGACAACAAGUAGAUGCUGUUCAAAGUGAGAAAGAAAAACAUGAUAAAAAAUAAUCUCUUCCCAUGGUUUAUGAAAUUCUAUCAUUGUUGCUACCUCAUAUUGGUUGGGAAUGACAAUAUCCAUUUUUACGUUUGGUAUUGAUGGAGUUAAACUAAAAGAUGGUCCUGUCUUACUUGCUUAUAAUACAAUCUCAAGGGGCGUGCUUAAAGUUGCAGUGUCCAAAGAUGACGGUGACUGAUGGAUUGAUGUCAUUACGCUAGAGGAAAAUCUGGAGAUGGAAUUCUCAUAUCCAGCAGUUAUCCAGGCUAGUUAUGGAUCUGUUCUUGUCACGUGCACAUACAAUAGGACACAGAUUAAGCAUCUGGGCCUUCAACCAAGUUGAUGAUGAACAGAUUACUCAGGAAUCUCAGAAGGUACUUUCCUCUACCAGUUUCGAUAGAGUAUAGACCCAUGCAUAAACAAUUUAUUAAAUGUAUGGAUAUGCUUUGCUAUAUUUGUGUUUUCAGCAAUUGCUCAAAGCAUUAAAGUAUUAUUGGUGUCUGAAGAAAUUAUGGUCCUUGUUUACUAAUCUGUUUUCUGUGAUUAUAUCAUCAUAAAUUUUGAUGAAAACUUUCCUCUGCAAAUCCAUUAUUGAGCUUGCAACUCACCCAUGAAGAUUUUGUGCGUAGUUUAUGCUUCUUUUUUUUGUUAAUUCAUUUAUUGUUAUAGCUGUUGCUGUCUUUCUAAAACAAUAAUUUGCCGAUUUGCACAUCUUUGUGCAAUAUAUAUAUCUGUUGCCGGUUUAAUUUUGUUAAGCUUUCUAGCUGUGAAAAUUUGGAUUUUUUUUUCCUUUUCUAUUUUAAACUCUAUUGGUUGUAUCAUCUUUUUAAAUGAGGUAAACAUGACCAAUAUUUUGUUGAUGUAUUCUGGACUUGAUUAGAGCCAUGUUGCCUUCUAUUGGGUGAUUUGUACGGUAAUUCUUUUUCGUUGUUCUUGUUUUUUUUUCUGGAAUCCUACACGCGUGAUACUCUGCGUUCGAUACCACUAACAUUUUCUAGUCAAGGACAUUAAUUAGACGAAUUCUUAUAGCUAAGAAAAGGUUUUCACAGGAUUGGAUAGUAAGAUAGUACGCAGGGCUCCUGUAAAGUGGACAUCCCUGGUAGCUAGGAGACAUUUAUCUCGUGUGAUUCUCUUUGAGAAUGGUGGAUGGUUAAGUAGAUUGAAAUAAUCUGGCAACAACUCCCUGUUUUCUUCAGAAAUGAUUAAAGGUAAGUGGACAAGCAUAGAUGUGAAUUCAGUGCAUCUGAUAUUCUGAAACCGUGUUUUAAUGACUUCUAUAUGCCACCAUAACCAUGUGUUAUGGAGGAGCUAUGCAGAAGAAAUGUUGAAAUAAAGAUAACUGGUCAUCUGUAAUUAGGUAAAUAGCAUCACUCUUCCAGAAGAGACAUUUGAACAAUCUUUAAUGAUAGCCAUUAAUUUUCCAUGGCAGGAAAUGACUCAGUUUAAUGAUGUAGAAUGUCUAAAACUUGACUAUUUCUCUCUUUCAUUAUCCAUUCUAAUAUCUUGUGGAUGGAAAUGGGUUGUCUUUAUUGGACAUGCCAUAGAAAAUAAACUCGUUACAUGACCGGACAACAUCAGUUCAUAAUAACACAGUUUUUUUCAGAGAAAGUAAUGAAGAAGUCUGCUCUUUGGUUCUUUCUAAUUUUUUGGAAGUAUAUAUAUGUACCCAAACUUGAAUGGUUUCUUGGCAAUUAAGCAUUGCAAGUGUGGGUCAAGUAAAUUGUGUGUUCAAGGUCUGUGCGGUGAAGAGAAAUAUCCAGAGCCUCAGCAAUCUAAAGUUUCGGUAGCCUGUGUUCUCAGUCUACGUGAAGAUGCUUUUAUGUUCACCAACACACAUGCAUGCAGGUUAUAGGGCUUGUCAGCAGGCCAUUGUAAACGAGGGAGUUAGUGUGUUUAAAGCGUGUGCAAUCUUGUGUUCUAUGAGGAGAUAGAGGGAGAGCGGUGGAUUCCCCCGCCUCCUCUCGAGGAUCACUCUACAUAAAAGUAAAAUGCUUGGUAUGUUUUUUUGUUGUUCUUAAUUAACAGUGCAAAUUCUUUUUGGUAUUUGCCUGCUCGCUAAAAUUAUACACAUUUCUUCUGUUGGUAAA
Molecule: long non-coding RNA, 2132 nt
Organism: Populus nigra (black poplar)
Lineage: Eukaryota; Viridiplantae; Streptophyta; Magnoliopsida; Malpighiales; Salicaceae
Exons: 2
Source: RefSeq, a predicted model, not a curated record